CGAUGAUCCGGUGCUUGCACCGGGGAUUAGUGGCGAACGGGUGAGUAACACGUGAGUAACCUGCCCUUGACUCUGGGAUAAGCCUGGGAAACCGGGUCUAAUACCGGAUACGACCUGUCACCGCAUGGUGGUUGGUGGAAAGAUUUUUUGGUUUUGGAUGGACUCGCGGCCUAUCAGCUUGUUGGUGAGGUAAUGGCUCACCAAGGCGACGACGGGUAGCCGGCCUGAGAGGGUGACAAGCCACACUGGGACUGAGACACGGCCCAGACUCCUACGG
RNAcentral lists this ribosomal RNA (277 nucleotides) under Arthrobacter sp. JCKQ15. RNAcentral describes it as "partial 16S ribosomal RNA". It matches the Rfam family "Bacterial small subunit ribosomal RNA", at positions 67 to 344 of the family's 1533-position model. The record is from RNAcentral. Lineage: Bacteria; Bacillati; Actinomycetota; Actinomycetes; Micrococcales; Micrococcaceae.